AAAAAGACAAACCCUAGGUUUCCGUACUCAACGUUUGACUGUUCGUCUUAUAUGAAAUUUUUUUAUAAUUAGUAUUUUUAUUGUUGUUAGAUGAUAAAACAUGAUUAAUAUUUUAUGCGUGACUUAUCUUUUUAAUUUAAUUUUAUAAUUUUUUUAAAUAAAACGGACGGUCAAAUGUUGGACAUGGAAACCAGGGUUUGUCUUUUU
Molecule: microRNA precursor, 207 nt
Organism: Oryza sativa Indica Group (long-grained rice)
Lineage: Eukaryota; Viridiplantae; Streptophyta; Magnoliopsida; Poales; Poaceae
Rfam family: MIR812 microRNA precursor family
Source: Rfam